AGCCCCUUUCCCCCCCCCCCYCUUCUCAACAAAAACUAAAAUAUUUUAGCAGUCUAGUAAAGAAGAUUAAAAAACUAUUAAGAGCUAUAAACUGUACCGCAAGGGAAAGAUGAAAUAAAAAUGAAACAAAUCUCAAGCACAAAAAAGUUGAGACUCACCCUCGUACCUUUUGCAUCAUGGUUUAGCUAGUCUAAUUAGGCAAAAAGACCUUAAGUCUAACUCCCCGAAACUAAGUGAGCUAAUUUAGGGCCGCUUAAUGAGCCCACCCGUCUAUGUUGCAAAAUAGUGGGAAGACCCUAAAAUAGAGGUGACAGACCUAACGAACUUAGUGAUAGCUGGUUUCUCAAGAAAAGAAUUUAGUCCAACUUAAAAUGAUACCAAUCCCCCAUAAUUACCCUUCCCCAUUUUAAAGCAAUUCAAAUGAGGUACAGCCCAUUUGAUACAGGAUUCAACCUUCGCUAACGGGUAAUAUUUUACUCACAUUUAAAAGUGGGCCUAAAAGCAGCCAUCUUUUAAAAAGCGUCAGAGCUUAACUAUGUGCAUCUCAAUCCACAAACCCCCAUAAACCCCUUUAAUAGUACCGAGAACCUCUAUAACACUAUAGAAAUUUUUAUGCUAAAACUAGUAACAAGAGAUAUCCCCCUCCUUAAUGCAAACAUAAGCCAGCAAGAACCAAUCUCUGGCAAUUAACAGAACUAAACAAAUGUAGCAACUCACUAGAAAACCCUACUUUUACUACACUGUUUACCUAACACAAGAGCAUUUCAAGAAAGAUUAAAAGAAAAAGAAGGAACUCGGCAAAUAUAGCUUCGCCUGUUUACCAAAAACAUCGCCUCUUGUACUAUUAUAAGAGGUCCAGCCUGCCCAGUGACUCUGUUCAACGGCCGCGGUAUCCUAACCGUGCAAAGGUAGCGUAAUCACUUGUCUUCUAAAUAAAGACCGGUAUGAAAGGCAUCACGAAGGCUAAACUGUCUCCUUUCUCUAAUCAGUGAACCUAAUCUCCCCGUGAAAAA
Molecule: ribosomal RNA, 1013 nt
Filed under: Pristimantis galdi
Lineage: Eukaryota; Metazoa; Chordata; Amphibia; Anura; Strabomantidae
Description: partial 16S ribosomal RNA
Source: RNAcentral